This 295-nucleotide small RNA is filed under the name Drosophila ananassae. RNAcentral's name for it is "GF26899". The record is from RNAcentral. Lineage: Eukaryota; Metazoa; Arthropoda; Insecta; Diptera; Drosophilidae.
UUCGCCGAUUUCCAAACUUUCGGGAAGUAUCCAAUAAUGACUGGCUACGGUUUAUAGUCGAAUAGCACAUCAGCCGCAACACAGUUUGACCGCAAGUCCUUUGCCCGAAAUUGUCCUCGUACGGGUGUAUCUUUGUGUGUACAAAGUAUUGGUCGUGAUCGAUAAAUGUGUGUUCACUGAGCGGAAAUAACAGGCACCCAGAGCAAGUUAAGAGUUUGGACAAGCUACCUUGUUUCGAAUAAUCCAUAAUGAUGGUGUAUAACGUGAUACCUUUAAAGUUCUUACUUACGUCGGG